This 546-nucleotide ribosomal RNA is filed under the name Metschnikowia reukaufii. RNAcentral describes it as "partial large subunit ribosomal RNA". It matches the Rfam family "Eukaryotic large subunit ribosomal RNA", at positions 1 to 506 of the family's 3401-position model. The record is from RNAcentral. Lineage: Eukaryota; Fungi; Ascomycota; Pichiomycetes; Serinales; Metschnikowiaceae.
UACUUCCUCAUCUUCGUAAGACUACCCGCUGAACUUAAGCAUAUCAAUAAGCGGAGGAAAAGAAACCAACAGGGAUUGCCUCAGUAACGGCGAGUGAAGCGGCAAAAGCUCAAAUUUGAAAUCCUUCGGGAAUUGUAUUUUGAAGGUGGGUUUGGUUAGGAAAAGUUACUUUAAGUCCAUUGGAAAAUGGCGCCAUGGAGGGUGAUAGCCCCGUAAAAGUACCCCUUUUCCUUUUAUCCAUUCCCUCCAAAGAGUCGAGUUGUUUGGGAAUGCAGCUCUAAGUGGGUGGUAAAUUCCAUCUAAAGCUAAAUAUUGGCGAGAGACCGAUAGCGAACAAGUACAGUGAUGGAAAGAUGAAAAGCACUUUGAAAAGAGAGUGAAAAAGUACGUGAAAUUGUUGAAAGGGAAGGGCUUGCAAGCAGACACAACCUCGGUUGGGCCAGCAUCGGAGUGGGGGGAGACAAAAAAGAAAAGGAAUGUAACUCAUUCGAGUAUUAUAGCCUUUUUCUCAUAUCUCCACCCCCUUCCGAGGCCUGCGAUCUCAAG